GGAUCAACCCCAACAAAUUUAGACCACUUUACCCAUAAAGGAGACGAUGAAAAGGACAAACAAAUUAUCAUACAAGUGCCAUUUACAAGGGGAUUGGUAUGCUAAUCUCAACACAAAAAUUGGGACACACUGGCUACUUUUCUUUUCAUCACUCCCCUACAGAGCUAAAGCUUGAGGGCCCCCCUCCCAAUAUAGCUCUCUUCAUCUACCAUCCUUUUCGGCUCGUCACUCUUACCGCAACCAUUUAAAACUCCUCCUCCCUCAGCUGAAACACAGGGAACUUCAUGUCCAUGCAUUAUCUUAUACUUCAACAUAGCUUCGUCCAUGGCUUUGACAAUC
Molecule: unclassified non-coding RNA, 339 nt
Filed under: Hevea brasiliensis (rubber tree)
Lineage: Eukaryota; Viridiplantae; Streptophyta; Magnoliopsida; Malpighiales; Euphorbiaceae
Source: RNAcentral